GACGAACGCUGGCGGCGUGCCUAAUACAUGCAAGUCGAACGCUGAAGGAGGAGCUUGCUUCUCUGGAUGAGUUGCGAACGGGUGAGUAACGCGUAGGUAACCUGCCUGGUAGCGGGGGAUAACUAUUGGAAACGAUAGCUAAUACCGCAUAAUAGUAGAUGUUGCAUGACAUUUGCUUAAAAGGUGCAAUUGCAUCACUACCAGAUGGACCUGCGUUGUAUUAGCUAGUUGGUGGGGUAACGGCUCACCAAGGCGACGAUACAUAGCCGACCUGAGAGGGUGAUCGGCCACACUGGGACUGAGACACGGCCCAGACUCCUACGGGAGGCAGCAGUAGGGAAUCUUCGGCAAUGGACGGAAGUCUGACCGAGCAACGCCGCGUGAGUGAAGAAGGUUGUCGGAUCGUAAAGCUCGGUUGUAAGAGAAGAACGAGUGUGAGAGUGGAAAGUUCACACUGUGACGGUAGCUUACCAGAAAGGGACGGCUAACUACGUG
This 495-nucleotide ribosomal RNA is filed under the name uncultured bacterium. RNAcentral's name for it is "partial 16S ribosomal RNA". It matches the Rfam family "Bacterial small subunit ribosomal RNA", at positions 28 to 507 of the family's 1533-position model. The record is from RNAcentral.